GAGCCAGUGCUAGAGGAUCAGGGAGGCGGUGCUAAAGCCCGCCCAGGCGCAACGGAGGCGGUGGCUCCUUCUCCUCUUAGUUCCUCUCCUGCCCGGCGCUCAGCGGAGCCAGGCGGCUGCAGCUCUCUCUGGCCGCUUGUAAGUCUCUCCGGUUGUUUGUAGCUGCUACGAAUCAGUUACCAGUCCGCUCUGGCCCCGGCCCCAAACGAUCUUCGGCUGCCGGUAGCGCCGCCCGGACCCCCGGCAAGGACUCUGCUCCGAGCUGCUAAACAGCAGGUGUGGAAACUGGGAGAUCUCAGGAAUAUCAGCACAAUUGCCUUCUGUUCUCUGCUCUAUCUCAGAGGUAACGACUCAAGCUCUUUCAUGUUUGACUGUUGGAGGUUUAUCCUGUGCAAGGAAACUGGAAGUAAUCAUUGCUCUUCACCCCUACCUCAGACUAAUGAGGUCAAAGAGGGAAGAAACUGAGCAUCAGAUUGAUGUGUCUGAUGUCAUCCGGCUUGUUCAAGAUAAACAGCAGGUGACAGUUCUACAACCAGCUUUUUUUCCUAUCCUGGGAAAACCACAUCAGACUGCUUUACUCUCUACACCAGAGGAGAACCAUCACAUUUUAAUUGUGAGAAUAAAUGUUGCUGGCUGGGAAAAAAAGAAUUGAAAGAAAGCAGAAUUGAAAGCCUGGAUCUGUCAAAAGCUACUUACUCUUCAGGGAAAAGAUGGAGUCACAUCCAGGAGGUUGUAUUCUGAGCCAUUCUUUUUAGUUGGAAAAACCAAUUCAGAGUUAAUUGAAGUACUUAAAGAAUGUUAGGGGGGGUGUGUGUGUUGUGUGUGUGUGUGUGGUGUGUGUUUUGUCC
This 848-nucleotide long non-coding RNA is filed under the name Phascolarctos cinereus (koala). RNAcentral describes it as "lncRNA (ENSPCIG00000033770.1)". The record is from RNAcentral. Lineage: Eukaryota; Metazoa; Chordata; Mammalia; Diprotodontia; Phascolarctidae.